CAGUAGCCGCGGGAAUACGGAGGGGGCUAGCGUUGUUCGGAAUUACUGGGCGUAAAGCGCACGUAGGCGGCUUGGUAAGUUAGAGGUGAAAGCCCGGAGCUCAACUCCGGAAUUGCCUUUAAGACUGCCGAGCUAGUAGGUGAGAGAGGUAAGUGGAAUUCCGAGUGUAGAGGUGAAAUUCGUAGAUAUUCGGAAGAACACCAGUGGCGAAGGCGGCUUACUUGCUCAUUCUAGACGCUGAGGUGCGAAAGCGUGGGGAGCAAACAGGAUUAGAUACCCCCGUAGUCCCUGUCUCUUAUAC
This 301-nucleotide ribosomal RNA is filed under the name uncultured bacterium. RNAcentral's name for it is "partial 16S ribosomal RNA". It matches the Rfam family "Bacterial small subunit ribosomal RNA", at positions 509 to 807 of the family's 1533-position model. The record is from RNAcentral.